GACGAACGCUGGCGGCGUGCUUAACACAUGCAAGUCGAACGGAAAGGCCCUGCUUUUGUGGGGUGCUCGAGGGGCGAACGGGUGAGUAACACGUGAGUAACCUGCCCUUGACUUUGGGAUAACUUCAGGAAACUGGGGCUAAUACCGGAUAGGAGCUCCUGCUGCAUGGUGGGGGUUGGAAAGUUUCGGCGGUUGGGGAUGGACUCGCGGCUUAUCAGCUUGUUGGUGGGGUAGUGGCUUACCAAGGCUUUGACGGGUAGCCGGCCUGGGAGGGUGACCGGCCACAUGGGGACUGAGAGACGGCCCAGACUCCUACGGGAGGCAGCAGGGGGGAAUAUUGCACAAUGGGCGGAAGCCUGAGGCAGCAACGCCGCGUGCGGGAUGACGGCCUGUGGGUUGUAAACCGCUUUCGCCUGUGACGAAGCGUGAGUGACGGUAAUGGGUAAAGAAGCACCGGCUAACUACGUG
Molecule: ribosomal RNA, 468 nt
Filed under: uncultured bacterium
Lineage: Bacteria
Description: partial 16S ribosomal RNA
Rfam family: Bacterial small subunit ribosomal RNA
Source: RNAcentral